GCUUGUCUCAAAGAUUAAGCCAUGCAUGUCUAAGUAUAAGCCUUUGUACGGCGAAACUGCGAAUGGCUCAUUAAAACAGUUAUAGUUUAUUCGAUAAUCAAUUGCUACAUGGAUAACUGUAGUAAUUCUAGAGCUAAUACAUGCGUCAGAACCCAACUUUACGGAAGGGUCGUGUUUAUUAGAUACAAAACCAACAUCUCGUUGGUGAUUCAUAAUAACUUAUCGGAGCUCAUGGCCUUGUGCCGGAGCCAGGUCAUUCAAAUUUCUGCCCUAUCAGCUUUCGAUGGUAGUGUAGUGGACUACCAUGGCUUUAACGGGUGACGGAGAAUUAGGGUUCGAUUCCGGAGAGGGAGCCUGAGAAACGGCUACCACAUCCAAGGAAGGCAGCAGG
Molecule: ribosomal RNA, 391 nt
Filed under: uncultured eukaryote
Lineage: Eukaryota
Description: partial small subunit ribosomal RNA
Rfam family: Eukaryotic small subunit ribosomal RNA
Source: RNAcentral